AUAUGAUUUAUUAAAGUGGACGGGGGUCUUCUCGGUAAGUGUGGUGGAAAAUGAUGACUCUCUCUGUAUUCAGGAGUAGGAAUGUUUAGUCUUGUGUUUGUUUCACUCUCACUGGUUGUGUGGUUAAUGGACUGAUUGUCAUCUUUGACUUUUGAGAGGUAAAAAAAAAACCUCACUAUUUCCUCUCCCCGCUCUGUAACCACGGUGACAGACUUCUAUGGGGACCGGAUAAGGUUGAGGGAAGAGAGAGGGGCUUAUAAUAACACAGAAGAAGGGCUCAAAAAUGAAAUUAAUGUGAUCCUUCGAUCUCAGAGUGAUCGAUACGCUUGAUACUUGCCAACUGAAGGCGAGGUUUGACUCUGAAGAUGCAAUUCAGAUUGAUUUUAAGUGCUCUUUUUUUUUUCGUUGCAUGGAUGAACUUGGUCCAAGCAAACAGUGAAUCUGUAAAUGACUGCCCAUGUGUUUCGGUGUCCAGUAUAAAUAUCCCUCGUACUAAGAUUAAGGAAUACACCAUUCAGAAGGAACCUGUCUGUCCCUUUAAUCUAGUUGUAUUUCGGACAGUGGGUGGAAGGAUAAUUUGUGCCGACCCCAACAGCAAGUGGGCAAAGUAUAUUAUCCGGAAGUUGGAGGCAAAGACAACAAUUCAACACUUCAGCCAAUAACAAAAUGUCCAAACCAGUGGGACUACACCAUCGGCAUCCAUGAAGUUGUGGAGAACCAUCACAACAGCACACAAACCUGAAAACGAUAGCAAAUAAAGCAAGGCUAGAAGAGUAAUCAAGGAGUAAAAACAUGAUGUAAUCAAAGUGUCUUUUAUCAGUCUAUUCUAUUCUAUUUAUUUGGAUAUUUAAUAUUUUAAUGCAGUGCUUUUCAGCCUGUUCAAAUCAUGAGCCUAACUGAAUAAUUGGAUGAUUGGUCCAGGCUCUUGCUACUCACAGAUGCAUAUAGUAAUUAUUUGAUAAUCAGAAAACACUGAAAACAAUGCCACUUCAAAUAAAUUAGAAAAUAAACAAAUAAUGUUGAGCACAAAACAUUUGUCUCUUCAGUAUUUGAUAUGUUAUAAAACCUCUUAUUCAAUUCCCACUUGGCGUCCAAGUGAUUGGGUUGCAAGUCAUUCCUUCAAUGAUGAAAGAAGCACAAUAAUCAAAACCAUAUAUGGUAAAUCUGCAAUAUAUCCUAAUAAAGCUUGGUAGUGCUGAUAAUGUAUUACUGUUAGCUAUUAAUCUGGUGUGCAAAUAAAUAAUUUAUUGAACAAA
This is a long non-coding RNA of Xiphophorus hellerii (green swordtail), 1256 nucleotides long. RefSeq lists it as uncharacterized. The transcript has 3 exons. The record is from RefSeq and is a predicted model, not a curated record. Lineage: Eukaryota; Metazoa; Chordata; Actinopteri; Cyprinodontiformes; Poeciliidae.